ACUCCUACGGGAGGCAGCAGUAGGGAAUCUUCCACAAUGGGCGCAAGCCUGAUGGAGCAACACCGCGUGAGUGAAGAAGGGUUUCGGCUCGUAAAGCUCUGUUGUUAAAGAAGAACACGUAUGAGAGUAACUGUUCAUACGUUGACGGUAUUUAACCAGAAAGUCACGGCUAACUACGUGCCAGCAGCCGCGGUAAUACGUAGGUGGCAAGCGUUAUCCGGAUUUAUUGGGCGUAAAGAGAGUGCAGGCGGUUUUCUAAGUCUGAUGUGAAAGCCUUGGCUUAACCGGAGAAGUAGCAUCGGAAACUGGAUAACUUGAGUGCAGAAGAGGGUAAGGUGGAACGUCCAUGUGUAGCGGUGGAAGUGCGUAGAUAUAU
Molecule: ribosomal RNA, 376 nt
Filed under: uncultured bacterium
Lineage: Bacteria
Description: bacterial SSU rRNA
Rfam family: Bacterial small subunit ribosomal RNA
Source: RNAcentral